Long non-coding RNA from Numida meleagris (helmeted guineafowl), 691 nucleotides. RefSeq lists it as uncharacterized. The transcript has 3 exons. Lineage: Eukaryota; Metazoa; Chordata; Aves; Galliformes; Numididae. The record is from RefSeq and is a predicted model, not a curated record.
AGGAAGGGGGGACAGGGAGGAGGGGGCAGGGUACCAACCCCUGAGGAAUGCCACUUGUCACUGAUCUGUAUUUGAAACUUUUAGCCAUUGAUUGCAACUCUCUCAGUGUGACCAGCCAACCAAUUCCUUAACCAACAAAUGGUCCAUUCAUCAAAUUCCUGUUUCUUCAAUCUGGAGAUGUUCCGUGGGACAGUAUCAAAUUCUUUGUAUAAUUCCAGAUUUUUGAACAAAGGAGACUAUUUUAUUGUGUGGCUUUAGUUUUCCGUAAUGGAUCUACACUGGGAAAUAAGAGUCUCCCACACUGCCAUCCUCAGUAUCUUUGAGCCCCAGACAGGAAUUUCCAGAACAGAGAAAAGGAGGAAUUCUGUCUUUCAGCACAAACAAAGAGCAGAACCGAAUUUAGAACCUGGAAAUUUGAAGGCUGCCCUGAAGAGAGCUAUUUUUAGUUUAUAAAAAUCCUUGUACCCAGCUAGCUUGAAAAUAAACACCUGCAAGAAGCUCAUUGAGUUCUAUAGGAAAGUAACUAGAAUCCUUUCCUCCCAACACUAUGAGCUCCAUAUGAGUUUAAACUUGUUUUAUACAAUAGUGUAAAAUAUAAAUUGUUCCAGUGUUUAUUUACCUUUGCUUACUUCCCUUAUAGUGUAACCUUAAGUACGUCAGGAAAUGCUUCCACUAAAAGUAAUGUAUUGAA